This 464-nucleotide ribosomal RNA is filed under the name uncultured bacterium. Its description in RNAcentral is "bacterial SSU rRNA". It matches the Rfam family "Bacterial small subunit ribosomal RNA", at positions 331 to 793 of the family's 1533-position model. The record is from RNAcentral.
CCAGACUCCUACGGGAGGCAGCAGUGAGGAAUAUUGGUCAAUGGUCGGGAGACUGAACCAGCCAAGCCGCGUGAGGGAUGAAGGUACAGAGUAUCGUAAACCUCUUUUGUCAGGGAACAAAGGCGGGGACGUGUCCCCGGAUGAGUGUACCUGAAGAAAAAGCAUCGGCUAACUCCGUGCCAGCAGCCGCGGUAAUACGGAGGAUGCGAGCGUUAUCCGGAUUCAUUGGGCGUAAAGCGCGCGUAGGCGGCUGCCUAAGCGGAACCUCUAACCCCGGGGCUCAACCUCGGGCCGGGUUCCGAACUGGGCGGCUCGAGUGCGGUAGAGGAGAGCGGAAUUCCCGGUGUAGCGGUGGAAUGCGCAGAUAUCGGGAAGAACACCGAUGGCGAAGGCAGCUCUCUGGGCCGGCACUGACGCUGAGGCGCGAAAGCUGGGGGAGCGAACAGGAUUAGAUACCCCAGUAU